ACUACGGGUGGCAGCAGUGAGGAAUAUUGGUCAAUGGCCGGAAGGCUGAACCAGCCAAGCCGCGUGAAGGACGACGGUGCCAAGCAUUGUAAACUUCUUUUGUCAAGGGACCACAUCAGGCUCGAGCGCCUGACCGAGGGUACUUGAAGAAAAAGCAUCGGCUAACUCCGUGCCAGCAGCCGCGGUAAUACGGGGGAUGCGAGCGUUAUCCGGAUUUAUUGGGUUAAAAGGGUGCGUAGGCGGACUGUUAAGUCCGCGGUCAAAGCCCGGGGCGAAACACCGGCGAGCCGUUGAAACGGGCUGUCUUGAGAUGUCGAGAGGUAUGCGGAAUGCGCAGUGUAGCGGUGAAAUGCUUAGAUAUUGCGCAGAACUCCGAUUGAGAAGGCAGCAUACCGGCGGCGAUCUGACGCUGAGGCACGAAAGCGUGGGUAGCGAACAGGAUUAGAUACCCGUGUAGUC
RNAcentral lists this ribosomal RNA (459 nucleotides) under uncultured bacterium. RNAcentral's name for it is "partial 16S ribosomal RNA". It matches the Rfam family "Bacterial small subunit ribosomal RNA", at positions 338 to 795 of the family's 1533-position model. The record is from RNAcentral.